CGGAGCCCACGCACUAUCCUCCCUUCGCUACUUUCUCUCCAAGGAAAAAGCCUUUCCUUAUCCUCUUUCCCUCGUCUAGAUCAAAUCCGGUGAAGUAGCGGCUAGGGAGGUCGAGGCGAGGCGGCGGACCGGACGAGCCUGGAGAGCAGAUCAGCCGGCGAGCCGGACCAGUAGCGACGCCGUCUCCUCCUUGCUCUUUCUAUGAGCAAGAUCAGGGGUCGCCCAGCCGCCCGCCUCCCAGCGCCGCCCGCCGCGCCAAGUACACCCCGGCCGCCUCCUCCACUUGCCUACUCCCGGCGACGCGCGCCGCGCCUAGCACGCGCCCCGACCGUUCCCCUCCUUCUGCCUCCUCCUAGCGACGCACGCCGAGGCCGGGAGGGACUGUUUCCCUAGGCCCCCAACGCCAACGAUCGAUUACAGUGCCAUCUAGGUGUUGUUGAUGCAUACUUGGGUGGGAGAUUGAACAUAGGUGCCAACUUUCUUCUGUCGGCAGAGGAAUCGGGGAGGCAAUUCCUUUCGUGAGAGCCGUCGUGCGCAGUGGGUGGCGGUUUCGAAUUUCGUGCCCUUAUCCCCCACUUCUCGCGGCGGUCUCCAUUUCGCCGUUGGGUGUUGCAGAGGCGGAAGCGAGGGUGCGGUCGAAGGCGGAAGCGAGGGUGCGAUCGAAGCCGGGGCGCGCCGCGAGGAUCGUCGUUCACGGCGGCAUAGAUCAACCAAAAUGGAUGGCAGUGAGGCAGAGG
Triticum aestivum (bread wheat) is the source of this 737-nucleotide long non-coding RNA. RefSeq lists it as uncharacterized. The record is from RefSeq and is a predicted model, not a curated record. The transcript has 3 exons. Lineage: Eukaryota; Viridiplantae; Streptophyta; Magnoliopsida; Poales; Poaceae.